Molecule: long non-coding RNA, 4830 nt
Organism: Chlorocebus sabaeus (green monkey)
Lineage: Eukaryota; Metazoa; Chordata; Mammalia; Primates; Cercopithecidae
Source: RefSeq, a predicted model, not a curated record
GCGUCACUGCGUCCGCCUGAGGCAGGUCAGGGAAGGGACGCGAGGUGGCGCUGUCACCGGAUUCUGUGAGCGGCAGCGCUCUGGGCUCCGCUGGUCUUGUAUCGUUUCGGUGACCUUCGCUCCAGUCUGUGACUGGGCCACACUCUGGGUGUAAAUUACGAUCCUCACUGAAGGGGUGGGACCCUGAGAGGCUUUUUCCUGGCCCCUUAGUUGUGGGUUUUCCUGCGGGCGGUGGAGCCCGUUUCCAUCAGAACCGCCCAGAGGCGGGCGCUGCCUUCCAGGGGUGGCGGAGCAGCAGGAAGCGUUUUCGGAUCCUGGAAUCCGUGGGCGGCCCGUGGGAGGGACUGAGGCGCAUUUCCCUACUCACCCGGCCCCGAAUCCACCGCGGUGCUGUUUCAAGAGAGUCAGAUUCCAGAUCGCGCUCCAGCCCGGACUCGGAAUUCCUGCCCUGCGGGUCUGCAUUUCACAGCGGCAGGUGUGAGUGACCCGCAGCUGGAGACCAGAAGCCUGAAGGCAGCUCGGCCCUCCCCAGCCCGCAGCGCCGUUAUUCCGUUUCUGUAUCAGUAAACACUUGUCAUUUUUCCGUAGCCCGGGGCAGGGUGACGGGUGAUCCCAGUCCUCGCAGUGAACUCCGGGCCGCAGACUUGAAAACGCGCGCGGGCUCCCACCGCAGCCCUGUCCUGAGUUACAGACGCGACCCGCGACCGCACUGGGCAGUUUCCCUUUCUUUUCCGGACUCAGCAGUGGCGCCUAAAGUCUACGAGGAGAAAAUCGCCUGUGUGCUGAGCAUGGGAACCUACAAGGCCCGGAUCAACACCUGACUGGGACAGGAGACCACCAGGGCAGUGCACAGCUGGGAUUUCAGUCUCCCGUGUCAUCUCCUGGGUCCACUGGUGCCACUGAGGGCAGCUAGACUCUGCAGCCAGGCGGCCUGGAUUCAACUCCCUGCCUGGGUCUCACCAGCACUUUCCCUCUUGGUGUCUCUGUUUCCUCAUCUAUGAAAUGGGGAAAUCAACAGCAUUUAUUUCUUGUGGUUGGAUGAAUGAUAAGGGUUGGCAUAUAUGAGGUGUUUGCAGCUGUGCCAUAUUAUUUUUAUUAUUUUGUUAUUUUAUUAUAUUUUAAUAUAUCACAUGUGCAGUAACUGUAUUAUUAUAGGUGAGCUUUAUGAAUGAGUGUCCUGGUGACGGUUCCUCCUGGGGAGCCCAGGACCAGGUUUCUUGGCACCUUGAGGUCCCCUCACCCCUGUUCUACUCUCCUGCAUUACCCUAUUCUAUUCUGUCUUUGUCUUCACAUUUUAUACUAUAGAUAUUUAGCUCUUAAAUAGACAUUUCUGGUCUGUGUUUUAAUUCAAGCGUCUGGGAAGGGAUAGAGUGUGAGGUUCAGGAGAGAAGGAGAGGUCUGUCUUGAUGCCUUGACACAGCACAGAGAAAUCCCCCCUCCUCCUCCACAUCUCCCCACCAGUUCUCAGUGAGGUACAGAUUCACAGCAACACUGAAAGGGCUGGGAAGAGAUCGGGGACAUCUGGGGCCAAUGUUCAGGGGUUGACCCUGUGGGGGACACCGGCCUGCAGAGUUAGAGCCCACAUGUGAUGAUGUAGAGCUGAAGGGUGAUAUCAGGGAGGGGACGGAGAGUGCUUUGGCCUUUCCUGAUUAUGAAGAGUAGAGGUCAGUGCUUCUGGGGUGAAGUGACUGCUGGGGAGAUUGGAUUGAAUUAAUGAAGAAUAAAUGAACAAAGAAUGAGGAUGAGUAAAGCAAGCAUCAGUAUCUCCUGCCAUUAGUUCAGACUGAUUGGGAAAGUGGGAUAGUUACUGACCCUGUUGCGUGAUUCCUCCUAACUUCCUGGUCUUGGGGGCACAGGCGGGUGGUGCUGUUCUUGGUCAGGGCGGCCUCAGCUCCACCAAGGUAAAGCAGUGGUGGCAGAGAGAGUUAGGGGAGCACCUGUGAAAGUGACCAAGGCAGGGAUGGGAGCCCCCUGUGCAGCAGUAGCAGAUGAAGGACCUACCUGGAUGCAAGAAAAGGAUGAGGAACCCUAGCUGGGUCCUGUUCCCUGCCUGCCUGUGCUCACAGGGUAAUCAGCAAGGGAGCUGGGGUAGGGAAUUCGUUCAUAAGCUAUCUAUCCAGAGAUGUGUUUAUAGACAUAUUCUUUCAUGUUUGUAUUCAAGUUUGUUGUCACAGGCACAUUUAUCCAUGUAUGUUUUAUGUUUAAGUUACUUUAGAAUGGCUCAGUCACAAAAUCUUAAUCUCUUCAUUUGUGAUACCUCUCUCUCCACACACACACACAUUCACACACAUGCUAUACAAACCUAUCUACCUAUAUCUGUAAAGAGAUAUGUUAUUUUAUUGUUUAUUUUGUAAAUUCAUAUACAUUCAGGGGGCACCAGCGCAAUUUCGCUACAUUGCUAUAUUGAGUUGUGGUAAAGUCAGGGCCUUCAGUGCAUCCGUCACUGGAGCCGGCCACAUUGUAUCCACCAAGAAACCCCUCUCAUAAUACACCCCCUGCCAACCACCCUUACCCUUCUGGGUCUCCGUUGUCCAUCAUUCCACAUGCUACUUUCAUGUAUAUAAAGAGAUAUUAAGUAAAUACGGCAGAGUGGUAACUUGAAUUUUACUGCACUAUUCUUUCAGAUUCUUUGCACAUUUGAAAAUUUAUACAAUUAUAAGUUGGAGGAAUGAGGGAAAACAGAGAGAGAGAGAGAGUGCUGAGUCAGAAUAGGUUAGGGGUUGCGUCCCACUAGGAACCAUAAUUGAUCUUUGCCAUUUUGAAAGUGUGCCCCCCUCCGAGCUGCCUUCAGAGAGUCCUGGAGGGAAACCUGCUUUCACAGAAAUACCAAGAUGCCAUCUGCCUGUUUCAUUAUGUUGACUUUUCCAUUAAUGCUGCAAAUGCCAUGGUGGGUAACACACCUAGCACCUUAGCAGAACCAGGCAGUAUCACCAAAGCACAGUCCCACUUCAGAUUAUCUUUGAUGGAGCAGUAAAAAUUUAUGUUUAUUAGAUUUUGAUCCCUCAGUACAUGUCUUUAAUAUUAUUUGUGAGAAAGUGGGAAAUAUGCAUAAAACACUUAUCGUAGAGAGAAGCAGGAUGGUAGCCUUGAGGAAGGGCACUUGUGUAGACUUAGUUAUGAGUUCAACCAGCAGAUCUCCUUCACCCACUGAAAGACAAUUUCAUUAUUUCCAGUUUGAAGGUGUUAUGGAUAAAGCUGCAAGAGUAUUUGUGUACAGGUGUUUUGUGAACGUAAAGUUUUCCCUUGUUUGAAAUAAGUGCCUAGGAGGUCAAUUGCUAGUCAUAUGGUAAAUUGCAUGUUAAGUUUGAAGAAAACUGCAAUACCCAUUUCCAGAGUGACUGUACCAUUUUAAAAUCCUUCCUACCGGCAAUAUAAGAGUGACCCAGUUUCUCUGCAUCCUUGCCAGCAUCUGUUGCUACCUUUAUUUUGUAUUUCAGCCAUUCUCAUGAUUGUGGUUUUAAUUUGUAUUUUUCCUACUGGAUAAUCAUGUUGAGUGUCUUCAUUUGCUUGUUAGCCCAGUGUUUAUCCUCUUCAGAGAAAUGUCUGUUCAUGUCUUGCUCAUUGCCUGUUUUGUAAUUGGAUUUCAUUUUUUACUGUUGUUUUUACAUUUCUUCAUAUAUUCUGAAUACAGUCUUUACAGAAUAUGUUGUCUGUAAAUAUCUUCUCUCGUUCUGUAGCUUGUCUUUUUAGCUCUUCACAGGUCCCUCACAGAGCAACAGUUUUUAAUGUUGAUGAGAUCCAAUUUGUUAACUUUUUCUUUUAUGGAUCAUACUUUUGGUGUUAUGUCUAAGAACCCUUUGUCCAGUCUUAGUUCUGAUGACUUUUUCUUCAAAGGUUGUAAUUUGAAAUUUUUAAUUUAUUUAUUAUUUAUUUUAGAAAAAAAAAAUUUGGCCUAGGCUGUCCUUGAACUCCUGGGCUCAAGGGAUCCUCCCACCUCAGCCUCCCGAGUAGCUGAGAGUACAGGUCUGUGACACCAUGCCUGGCUCAAUGUUUGCCAUUUUAACUCUGUGUCUUGCAUUAAAGCUUGUGAUUCAUUUUGAGUUAUUUUUUGUAUAAAGUGUGAGAUUUGGGCUCAGCUGUCCAGUUGCUCAGCACUGUUUGUUGGGCAAGCUCUCCUUCCCUCAUUGAAUUGCUUUUGUUCUUUUGUAAGUCAGUUGAGCAUAUUUAUAUGUUUUGCCCACUUUCAGUUGAGUUGCUUCUCUUCUUACAUUAAGUUUAAGAACUUGUCACAUAUUCUGGAUACAUGUUCUUCAUCACAAAUGUAAUUUGUGAUAAAUUGUGAAAUAUUUACUCCCAGUCUAUGGCUUGUCUUCUCAUUUUCUCAAUGAUGUCUUUUGGAGCACUCAAGUUUUAAAUUCUAACUAAGCCCAAUCUCUCCCUCUCUGUCUCUCUCUCUCUCUCUUUCACUUGUAGAUCAUGCUUUUGGUAUUUUUAUCUAAGAAUCUUUUGCCUAACUACCCAAAGUCACAAAAAUUUCCUUCUAUAUUUUCGUUUAGAAAUUUUAUAGUUUUAACUCAUAAAUUUUAGCUCUAUAGGUCUCUAAUUUGUUUGAGCUGAUAUUUUAUGUGGUGUUAAGUGUCACAUUGCAUUACCUAUGCAACUUCAUUGAAAAUCAAUUGACAAAAAAAAAUGUAAGAAUGUCUUUCUAGAUUUUCACUUCUGUUCAUUUCUGUUCAUUGAUCUCUAUGUCUCUCAGUUUCAUACUGUCUGGAUUUUUAUAGUUUUACAUGACAUUCCGUUUUUUGGGUUUUUUUUUUCAAAUUUGUGUUGGCUCUUCUGCAUCCUCUGCAUUUUCAUAUACAUUUUUAGGCUUAUUUUCUCAAUUUUCUA